Molecule: non-coding RNA, 47 nt
Organism: Calypte anna (Anna's hummingbird)
Lineage: Eukaryota; Metazoa; Chordata; Aves; Apodiformes; Trochilidae
Source: Rfam
ACAAAGGUGUUUUUGAACACCACUGAAAUGUUUGGAGACAGCAAACU